GAUGAAGAACGUAGCAAAAGGCGAUAAGUAAUGUGAAUUGCAGAAUUCAGUGAAUCAUCGAAUCUUUGAACGCACAUUGCGCCCGCCAGUAUUCUGGCGGGCAUGCCUGUUCGAGCGUCAUUUCAACCCUCAAGCACAGCUUGGUGUUGGGACUCGCGUUAAUUCGCGUUCCCCAAAUUGAUUGGCGGUCACGUCGAGCUUCCAUAGCGUAGUAGUAAAACCCUCGUUACUGGUAAUCGUCGCGGCCACGCCGUUAAACCCCAACUUCUGAAUGUUGACCUCGGAUCAGGUAGGAAUACCCGCUGAACUUAAGCAUAUCAAUAAGCGGAGGA
RNAcentral lists this unclassified non-coding RNA (332 nucleotides) under soil metagenome. RNAcentral describes it as "partial contains 5.8S ribosomal RNA, internal transcribed spacer 2, and large subunit ribosomal RNA". The stretch from base 1 to 120 matches the Rfam family "5.8S ribosomal RNA", at positions 35 to 154 of the family's 154-position model. The record is from RNAcentral.